GCUUGUUGUUGACUUGUUUAAUUUAUUUAUAUUCGUCUGCUAGCUGUUAGUAUUUUCACACUUGAAGUCCGGCAUGGCCGUAACAUUUGGGCUUUGACGUCCAAUUGUCAAGUUUAAUUAUCAGAUAUUUACGUCGCAAGGGGAAUGCAAAUAAAAAGGUGACAACCUUCAGCAUUACAAGGGGAUAACGAUGGGCUGGGGCGAAAGGACGGGUGAAAGGAAAACGGCGGGCAGGAAAAAACGACAGCCAGAGAAAUAAUAACUUGCAGAGGAAAAGUGACAAACAGAGAAAUAACGAUUUCCAGGAGAAUAACGACAGCCGCAAGACGAACAACAGCAAAGGCAUUUACCAAGAAUGUUUUCCUUGAUCAAGAACGAAAGUUAGAGGUUCGAAGGUGAUCAGAUAACGCCCUAGUUCUAACCAUAAACGAUGCCAUCAAGCAAUCCGUCGGAGUUACUCCAGUGACAAAGGUGAGUAGUUUAUCAACCGAAAACAACAGACAUGGGGG
This 509-nucleotide non-coding RNA is filed under the name Daphnia magna. RNAcentral's name for it is "Eukaryotic small subunit ribosomal RNA". It matches the Rfam family "Eukaryotic small subunit ribosomal RNA", at positions 626 to 1112 of the family's 1831-position model. Lineage: Eukaryota; Metazoa; Arthropoda; Branchiopoda; Diplostraca; Daphniidae. The record is from Rfam by way of RNAcentral.